This 90-nucleotide transfer RNA is filed under the name Geotrichum candidum. RNAcentral's name for it is "tRNA-Asp". It matches the Rfam family "tRNA". From Rfam's summary of the family: Transfer RNA (tRNA) molecules are approximately 80 nucleotides in length. Their secondary structure includes four short double-helical elements and three loops (D, anti-codon, and T loops). Further hydrogen bonds mediate the characteristic L-shaped molecular structure. tRNAs have two regions of fundamental functional importance: the anti-codon, which is responsible for specific mRNA codon recognition, and the 3' end, to which the tRNAs corresponding amino acid is attached (by aminoacyl-tRNA synthetases). tRNAs cope with the degeneracy of the genetic code in two manners: having more than one tRNA (with a specific anti-codon) for a particular amino acid; and 'wobble' base-pairing, i.e. permitting non-standard base-pairing at the 3rd anti-codon position. The record is from RNAcentral. Lineage: Eukaryota; Fungi; Ascomycota; Dipodascomycetes; Dipodascales; Dipodascaceae.
UCGGCAAUAGUUUAGUGGCUAGAAUUUCCGCCUGUCAUUAGUUCUUAGAACAGCACGCGGGGGACCGGGGUUCAAUUCCCCGUUGCCGAG